Molecule: ribosomal RNA, 496 nt
Filed under: uncultured bacterium
Lineage: Bacteria
Description: partial 16S ribosomal RNA
Rfam family: Bacterial small subunit ribosomal RNA
Source: RNAcentral
AUGAACGCUGGCGGCGUGCCUAAUACAUGCAAGUCGAGCGAACAGACGAGGAGCUUGCUCCUCUGACGUUAGCGGCGGACGGGUGAGUAACACGUGGAUAACCUACCUAUAAGACUGGGAUAACUUCGGGAAACCGGAGCUAAUACCGGAUAAUAUAUUGAACCGCAUGGUUCAAUAGUGAAAGACGGUUUUGCUGUCACUUAUAGAUGGAUCCGCGCCGCAUUAGCUAGUUGGUAAGGUAACGGCUUACCAAGGCGACGAUGCGUAGCCGACCUGAGAGGGUGAUCGGCCACACUGGAACUGAGACACGGUCCAGACUCCUACGGGAGGCAGCAGUAGGGAAUCUUCCGCAAUGGGCGAAAGCCUGACGGAGCAACGCCGCGUGAGUGAUGAAGGUCUUCGCAUCGUAAAACUCUGUUAUUAGGGAAGAACAAAUGUGUAAGUAACUAUGCACGUCUUGACGGUACCUAAUCAGAAAGCCACGGCUAACUACGUG